UUCUGCAUCUGCAAUUACAAGGACCAAAGGCGACGGGCUUGGAGAAUUCACACUUGCAUAAAUAUUCAAUUGGGACCCCUUAUUCAGGAAAUAUAUCCAGUCCUGCAGUUUGAGGGAAAAAAAUAAUCUACAACAACCGACUACAACAGAUCAAAUUCAAGCACUUAAAUAGGUAACUUGCCUUUUGAGACUUAGCUGGGAGAGAGGUACUAUGCAAUUCAGACGAAUCAAUUAGAACAUCAAGAGGAGGAUCUUUUUAAAACCCAUAUAGCCUUGACCCAUUAAUAGUAUCAUCAAAUUGCUUAACCUGGUAAAGAUCCAACUUUUCUUUUAUAAAAAAAAAAGGAUUUGUUUAAUCUGCUCGAAGCGAAACAAACUCAUAUAUGCAAGCCGAUAAUAUAUAACUACAGAUUGAAGGGAAAAUGAUUAGUAAGAAAAUGGCAUAGUUUUAUCCCACCAUAAUUUCAUUACGAGACCUUAAAACAAAUUUUUAAAUCCCUGCACCUACUAUUAAAAAUCGAAAUCAUAUUAGAGAUAUGUCAGUACUAACUACCUAAUAGAAUUUUCCCUGAAUAGGAGGAUUAAAAGCAGCAUAAGAUUACCUUUAAAUACUUGACAAGCACGGGAUUGGCUUUAAUUAGAAGUGAACAAUUAGAGCCAAGUCUUAAAGUCAAUGAUCCAUAAACCCCCAAAACCAGAACAAUAGAUACUGACAUGAAAGUGAAACAUAACAAGAGCAGUAUCAAUAAGGACUCUAAAACUAAACAGCACAAUAUGAUAUAAAUAUACAGUUAGACAAUACACUUCCACAUACUCCCUCUUCCAAAACUAUAGUCCCAGACUAAAAUGCAAAAGUUUGUACUAUUUUUGCAAAACUCGCCUUCUAACUUUUAUUUUUGCAAAUAUCUCCCUCCAAGAUGUAUUAAUUGUGCAAAACUCACCCUAUGUAUUUUUUUUGUUAAAAAUCCUCACAUAGUUAAAUUAUUUCAUCUUAUUCACCACUUAAAAAAUUUAACUUUAGAAUACUCCUUUUAUUUCGCUCAAAUGACUUCAAAUUAACGGGAGGAAAUCACAAUACCAUUAUAUUUGGAACCCUUGCUUAAUGCAUA
This 1109-nucleotide long non-coding RNA is filed under the name Panax ginseng (ginseng). RNAcentral describes it as "long non-coding RNA (PGIN_LNC014864)". The record is from RNAcentral. Lineage: Eukaryota; Viridiplantae; Streptophyta; Magnoliopsida; Apiales; Araliaceae.